UACAGAGGGGGCCAGCGUUAUUCGGAAUUAUUGGGCGUAAAGGGCGCGUAGGCGGCCAUGCGUGUCUUCCGUGAAAUCCCUCGGCUUAACCGAGGACGUGCGGAAGAAACUGCAAGGCUCGAGUCCGGAAGAGGGGGGCGGAAUUCCCAGUGUAGCGGUGAAAUGCGUAGAUAUUGGGAGGAACACCAGUGGCGAAGGCGGUCCCCUGGGCCGGAACUGACGCUGAGGCGGCGAAAAGCGUGGGUAGCAAACGGG
RNAcentral lists this ribosomal RNA (255 nucleotides) under uncultured bacterium. RNAcentral describes it as "partial 16S ribosomal RNA". It matches the Rfam family "Bacterial small subunit ribosomal RNA", at positions 524 to 776 of the family's 1533-position model. The record is from RNAcentral.